GAUGAACGCUGGCGGCGUGCCUAAUACAUGCAAGUCGAGCGAACAGACGAGGAGCUUGCUCCUUUGACGUUAGCGGCGGACGGGUGAGUAACACGUAUGUAACCUACCUAUAAGACUGGGAACACUUCGGGAAACCGGCGCUAAUACCGGAUAAUAUUUCGAACCGCAUGGUUAGAUAGUGAAAGAUGGCUUUGCUAUCACUUAUCGAUGGACCUGCGCCGUAUUAGCUAGUUGGUAAGGUAACGGCUUACCAAGGCAACGAUACGUAGCCGACCUGAGAGGGUGAUCGGCCACACUGGAACGGAGACACGGUCCAGACGCCUACGGGAGGCAGCAGUAGGGAAUCUUCCGCAAUGGGCGAAAGCCUGACGGAGCAACGCCGCGUGAGUGAUGAAGGUCUUCGGAGCGGAAAACUCUGUUAUUAGGGAAGAACAAACGUGUAAGUAACUGUGCACGUAUUGACGGUACCUAGUCAGAAAGCCACGGCUAACUACGUG
This 497-nucleotide ribosomal RNA is filed under the name uncultured bacterium. Its description in RNAcentral is "partial 16S ribosomal RNA". It matches the Rfam family "Bacterial small subunit ribosomal RNA", at positions 28 to 507 of the family's 1533-position model. The record is from RNAcentral.